Gossypium raimondii (Peruvian cotton) is the source of this 1602-nucleotide long non-coding RNA. RefSeq lists it as uncharacterized. The record is from RefSeq and is a predicted model, not a curated record. The transcript is spliced from 3 exons. NCBI's taxonomy places the organism in Eukaryota, Viridiplantae, Streptophyta, Magnoliopsida, Malvales, Malvaceae.
GUUUGCUCAUCUUCUUCGAUUUCCUCGUUUUCAUUCUCUUUAAGAUACUUCAUUUCUUUUGAUUAUUCUUCUUCAGGUUACUCUUUUCUUUGUUUGCCUGCUGAUCUUCUUUGUUUGUCAUUUCUUUUCUUGUUUUGGCUUAAUGAUUUUUGCCUUUUUCUUCUUCUGUGCAAUGUAACUUGGAAAAUGGGAGUGUGUACAAACUACUAGUUCUUAUUAGUUUUGGAGCCAGUCCAAUCCGCAUGAUUUUUUAAUCUGCAGUACAUGAUUUUAGUAAACAUUAGGAUUAAUGUAUUUUACUUUUUCAGGCAUUAGGUACCAGAUUCACUCAAUUUGUACAGCCUGUAUUUCAGAGGUGCAUAAAUAUCAUCCAGACUCAACAAUUGGCUAAGAAACAAUCGACAUUGAAAUCGAUUUGGCAUACCUUAGCUUCCUUUCCUGACUUCAAUUUUUAUGACUAUGGCUAGUUUGAACACUUCUAUACCUGUGGAUGAUGGGUUUAAUGAGUACGAAAGUGCUGUCAAACGUCAAAAGUCUACCACUUCAAAGGUGUGGGACGAAAUGACAAAGCUUGAAUGCGAGAACAAAAUGAAUUGAAGGCACAAUGUAAUCACUGUAAGACUAUCUUCUCUGCUAAGUCUUCUAGUGGAACCUCUCAUUUAAGACGUCAUCUAAAUAGCUGUUUGAAAAAAGUUAAUAAGGACAUCACUCAAUACACCAUAGCCACUCAACCAUGACCAGAAGGUGUUCCAUCUAUAAAAAAACUACAAGUUUGAUGCUGAUGAGUGUCGUCAAGCUAUUUCUACUUUUCUUGUGUGUGGCAAGCAUUCAUUUAGGACAGUUGAAGAACAGGGAUUUAGAUAUAUGAUGAGAAUUGCUAGUCCUAAUUUUAAGAGUAUAAGUAGACAAACAGCUACUAGAGAUGUCCUAAAGUAUUAUGCAAAAAAAAAGAGAUCAUGUGAAAGAAGAGUUGGCUAAAGCACCUGGUUUAAUUUGUCUAACUUCUGAUAAUUGGAAUUCGGAGCAUACUAAUGAUGAAUAUAUUUGCAUUACUGCUCAUUGGGUUGACAAAGAUUGGAGGCUACAAAAGAGAAUCAUAAGGUUUAGAGCUUUAUUUCCUCCGUAUGAUGGUUUGAACAUAGCGGAUGAACUUGUUUUAUGUUUAUCUCAAUGGGGUAUAGAUAAGAAAAUUUUUAGCAUCACUUUGGAUAAUGCUUCUUAUAAUGAUGUUAUGGUUUCUUGUCUUAAAAAUCGUUUUCGUGCAAACCGAGCUAUUUUGUGUGAUGGUGCUUUUUUUCAAGUUAGAUGUUGUGCACAUAUAUUGAAUCUUAUAGUUAAAGCUGGUUUGGAACUUACCGAUGAUGUUGUUUGUAAGAUUUGAAAUGGGAUUAGGUACAUAAAAAAGUUAGGAAUUCGUAGGAAAAGAUUUUAUGAUGUGGCCGACAAAAUUUUUCAUUUGAAUGUGACCAAAAAGUUGCGUCAAGAUGUGUGUGUGUGAUGGAAUUCUACUUAUUUGAUGCUUGAAUCUUCUCUUUACUAUAAAGAUGUGCUAGAUUAUUGGGGCCAACGGGAUAAAGAUUAUCAAAUGUUUGCACUUUCUAG